This 167-nucleotide small nuclear RNA is filed under the name Nelumbo nucifera (sacred lotus). RNAcentral describes it as "U1 spliceosomal RNA". It matches the Rfam family "U1 spliceosomal RNA". From Rfam's summary of the family: U1 is a small nuclear RNA (snRNA) component of the spliceosome (involved in pre-mRNA splicing). Its 5' end forms complementary base pairs with the 5' splice junction, thus defining the 5' donor site of an intron. Lineage: Eukaryota; Viridiplantae; Streptophyta; Magnoliopsida; Proteales; Nelumbonaceae. The record is from Rfam by way of RNAcentral.
AUAUUUACUUGAACGGGGUCGAUGGGUGAUCAAAAAGUCCCAUGGCCAAGGUUGGCAACCUCCAUUGCACUAGGGAGGGGUGCCUGUACCUAACAUCUUCCCAAAUGGGAGAGUGUACGUCAUAAUUUGUGAUAGUGGGUGGGGGUACGUGUUCGUGCGGCCCCUGC